Non-coding RNA from Chrysochloris asiatica (Cape golden mole), 372 nucleotides. The record is from the annotation of a RefSeq genome assembly. Lineage: Eukaryota; Metazoa; Chordata; Mammalia; Afrosoricida; Chrysochloridae.
AUGAGCAGCAAACAGGAGGUGCAACAGAGUCCUCCAGCUCUGACUAUCCAAGAGGGAGAGACCUUGGCUCUCAACUGCAGUUACACUGACAGUGCAAUGUACUUUCUUCAGUGGUUUAGGCAAGACCCUGGGAAAGGUCUCAAAUCUCUCUUGGUAAUUCAGUCAAAUCAGAGGGAACAAAAGAAUAGAAGACUUAAAGCCCUGUUGGAUAAAUCAUCAAGACAUAGUGUUUUAUACAUUGCCACAUCUCAGACUGAUGACUCAACCACCUACUUCUGUGCUGUGAGGCACAGUGCACAACAGACACCUGAUUUUGUAGAUGUUAUGGUGACCAUCACUUGUGACGGUUUUUCUGUUUCUGAUCAGGUUUGA